RNAcentral lists this ribosomal RNA (564 nucleotides) under Triticum aestivum (bread wheat). RNAcentral's name for it is "partial small subunit ribosomal RNA". The record is from RNAcentral. Lineage: Eukaryota; Viridiplantae; Streptophyta; Magnoliopsida; Poales; Poaceae.
AUGCAUGCAUGUGCGUCGCAAAUCAUUCGCACGUUCAGUCACACAGGCCGGCAGACGAUCGAUCGAUCGACCAGGCGCCGCAGAGUGACCAGCGAAACAUUUAUUUAUUUUUUUCCAGAAAAAAAGUGGCGAGUGAAACUUACUUGCAGCGCGGCGGCGUACAGCUCCCGGCCUCUCCUCAGCAGGGCGUCCAUGCCGUCGCCGUCGUGCUCGUGGUCGUGCUCGACGUCGACCCUGGCGCGCUGCCGGGCCUGGAUCUUCACCAGCGACUCGAGGCCCCGCAGCGUCGCCGCCGUCUGCCGCCGCACCGCCUGCCCGCGGAUCACCGCCUGCAGCCUCACAAGCCCCUUGAGCGCGCGCAGUGCCCUCCGCGCCUGCACCCACAGCGACAGCGUUACUACAAGACAAGACAGAGCCAGCUUUAAUUUCCUUGCCCAACUACAAUGCUUACAGUACUUACGAGGUAUCCGCGGUAGGCUGACUGGAUCGCGACGGCGGCGAACAGUUCGUGGCCGGAAGACGCGGGGUCCUCACGCGCCGGCGCCGGCGAGGGCUGUCCUGUGA